ACAUUCUGCCUGUCUGAGAGCCGGGGGGAAGCAAGGACGCGAGUGAGGCGGGGCGAGUCCCGGUCCGGCGCGCACAGCGGACCGAGCGGGUGGCCCUCUGCGGGCUGCCCCUCUCCAUCCCUCCGCGGAUCCCCCGCCCUUACCUCCGGGCGCGAGAGUGUCGACUGGAGAAGGUGCUAGGGAGCGGCGAGCUGCCUGGGGGUCGGGCUCAGCGGCUGCCAGGGACGGCGGCGUCGCCCGCGGGGUCGCUGCUCAUGGCUUGUCGCGCCCGAGCACUGCGGCCGCGGCCACGGCGGCGCCUUCCUCCUACUUCUCUUCGCGGGCUUCCAGCCGGGACGCAGCUAACGCCCCAGCCCCGCAAGCCCUCCUCCCCUCCGCCUCCCCGGCCGCGGACGGAGCCGCCUCCAGCGCCGCCCCGCACGCAGCCCGGCUAGCGGCAGCCAGCGCCGCCCAGCGCCCGGCCCCGGGGUCGCCACCGCCCGCCGAGUCGACUCCGCGGUGCCAGCCCCGCUGUGACGCAGGCCGCGCCGCCCGGGAACUUCCUCCCCUGCAGAGACCACCUCGCUCCCGGGACUCGCCAGCGAGGGAUGCCGCCGGCCGCCGGGGGCCUUCUCCAGGACCAGGAGAGAAAUCCUCUCUCCGCUUCACGACGCGGCCACUCCCACCCCUGAGACGCCCACCUGGCGGACUCUGAGGGAGGAUUCGGCUGCGUCUAAUACCACCUCCACCCCUCAUCCCUCACAAUGCGCGGAAAACCACAGGCGGCUGUGCGCGCAGCGUCGGCUCAGCCACCGCAGCUCCUCCCCUGGGAUGAAAAAGCACUCUGACGUCUUGAAAGCUGGCAGCUCUCUGUUUGGAAAAUCUCUGCCCAGUGAAAAAAUGUACCGACAAGAUUACUAAGUAACACAGUCUUCUGGGAAUGCCUUAUCAAUGCCAGCUAUUUGAAGAGCACCCAAAGUCAAACUAGUGCUCCGCGCUGGCAGUCUGGAAAAGGCAGAUGUAUAUGAGAAAACUGAGCUGUAGAAAGGUUGCCUGACUUGUCUAAGAUAACACAGCUGGGAAGUUGAGGAGGCAGGUCUGACUGGUAUAAAAAACUCCAGCCCAGUGACUUCCAUACUACAAAAUGGACAAAAGAGAUCAGGUACGCAGAAGGGCAGAAAGUAGCUGAAUUGCUAGUUGUUUUGAAUACACUUGGAAGGGAAGGGAGAUACAAUCUGAAAAACUCACAUUUACCACAUCAAAACAACACCCAGCAGGCAAGUUGACAGCCCUUUUCUAUCUUACUGCUGAUGGCAGUGGUGGGCCAUCCAGAGCAGCCGCUGCC
Molecule: long non-coding RNA, 1324 nt
Filed under: Homo sapiens (human)
Lineage: Eukaryota; Metazoa; Chordata; Mammalia; Primates; Hominidae
Description: non-protein coding LRRC8C-DT:30
Source: RNAcentral